Rhododendron vialii is the source of this 1650-nucleotide RNA transcript. RefSeq lists it as uncharacterized. Lineage: Eukaryota; Viridiplantae; Streptophyta; Magnoliopsida; Ericales; Ericaceae. The transcript is spliced from 6 exons. The record is from RefSeq and is a predicted model, not a curated record.
GUUGGAGGAGCGGUAAAUGGAUAGCGGUGGGAGUGUACUCAGUAUGAUUACAAAAUACAGUUGCAUAUCGCCCGAUUUUUUAAGCUUAACUUGCUACUAGCAGUUGGUUUAGCAUUUUGGUAACCAGGUCCCAACGACCGGCUACCGCAGAGCAACUCUACGAGGCGGCGAGAAGCGUCGACGCCGUCGAGGGCGGAGGUGGUGGGGGCCGGCAUUGAUGAGGUUGUGGAGGCUGGCGCGGCCGUAGAAUUUGGCAAGGAAGAUGGUGGCAUUAGAUUGAGAAUCGGAGGAUUUGAUCCAGUGAAGGCAGGGUCUGAGACUGCAUUCGGGUGUAUCAUCAAGAUAUGUGAGAGUUCCAUUGACAUCUUGCUUCAUUGUUCAAACAUGGCAGCAUUUACUCAUCGACAUUUUCCAGUAACACCUUUUACUGAACAGGAGACGAUUUAUCACACCAAAUUCAAAGCAGCCCAUGUUGAGCCACUUUCGUCGGUUGUCCAGACCAAGUUAAACGCACUUCGACAAAUCCCUGGGCAAUUAAUCCCAAACUAGCGGGAGGCCCAUUUAAAGCCUGAGAUUAUUCCCAAGAGUUGAUAGCGCCUAUGAGGUUUUAACAUGGCACUUAAGACAAACCCCUAAGCUACCAAGUUUUUGACCACCAAGUCAAUCUGUUGAGUUUGUGAAAAGUAUAAUUGGCAGCACUUGAAUUGUGGAGGAGGUAGAGGUGUCCCAUACGAAAUCAAUCUUGAUCCAUAGACUAUAUGGAGGUAUGCCAAUGCUAGAUGUGACUUUUUCUUUUUGACACCGUCUGGACCAACUUACGCGCAUCUGACUAAUCCUGAGGUGCAAUUCUACAGUUCACUUGCAGGAGUCUCAAUCAGGGAUGGAACCAAGAUUUUACCCUAAUAGUAGCAAAAUGUAUACUAAAAAAAUAAAAAGAUGCAUUACAAUAUUAAUAGUCAUCGACUCUUAAAAAAAAAUUAAAAUAACAUAACAAAAACUAUAGUAAAUGAUAUUUAUCAUUUGUACAAGGAGUACGAAAAAGGACAAAUUUUAAUUUUUUAGAUUAAGUUGUUUUAGGGUUAAAGUGUGGAGUUUUUUUUCCUUAAUUACACCUCAUUCUUUAUAUUAUUUCACUUCGGCUCAUUGAAUUUAGUUUUGAAAUACUUUUUUGGGUCUCCUUUCUUGAAAAAAAUAGAAGAUUUAGGACUGGUAUAUAACAAAAAAUAAUGAAAAAAAUCUAGCGGUAGCGAGCUUAUAUAAAUUCGGGAUUGAUCCUAAAAGAGUUGUUGGAAAAUGGAGAGGUUUCGAAAAUGAGAUCUUGAGAGGGAGCUAUUGAUGCCAACCAUUGGACUGUACCUCCAUAGGGUUAUGAAAUCUCCUUAUCAGUUCACUUCAAUUAACAUCAGUUCAAGCUGGAAUGCUGAGGAAAAGAGAGUGAUUGAUUUGAACCUUUUAACUCCUAAUAAAACAGAUCAAAAAAAAAAAAACUUGAUUAGACAUCAAUAGAAUAAGAAAAAUUAGUGUUUUAUUUAGAAAAACCAAUCACUUAAAAUUUGAAACUAUAUUUGCCGUCUACAUUGUAAAACAAAUUGACACGGUUUGUUGAUGUAUCUAUUGACGUGCGAUUGAUUUGAUUUUUUCUGAUAGAUG